UUUUGAAUAUAAUUUAAAGUAGGGCCUGCCCACUGAUUUUAUUAAAGGGCCGCAGUAUUUUGACUGUGCAAAGGUAGCAUAAUCAUUAGUUUUUUAAUUGAAAGCUUGUAUGAAUGGUUUGAUGAAAAAAUGACUUUCUUUAAUUAAUAAAAAAAAAUUUAUUUUUAAGUUAAAAAGCUUAAAUGUUUAUAAUAGACGAGAAGACCCUAUAGAGUUUAAUUAUAUUUAUUAUUUUAAAAAUUUUUAGAAUUUAUAAUUUUUAUUUUUAUAAUAAUUUGAUUGGGGUGAUUGAAAAAUUAAUUUAACUUUUUUUUUAUUAAACCAUUUAUUUAUGUAUAUUUGAUCCAAUUAAUUGAUUAUAAGAAUAAAUUACCUUAGGGAUAACAGCGUUAUUUUUUUUUAGAGUUCAAAUCGAAAAAAGAGAUUGCGACCUCGAUGUUGGAUUAAAGUUAAAUUUAGGUGUAGAAGCUUAAGUAUUUGGUCUGUUCGACCAUUUAAACUUUACA
This 506-nucleotide ribosomal RNA is filed under the name Anisosticta novemdecimpunctata (water ladybird). RNAcentral describes it as "partial large subunit ribosomal RNA". The stretch from base 380 to 506 matches the Rfam family "Archaeal large subunit ribosomal RNA", at positions 2542 to 2669 of the family's 2987-position model. The record is from RNAcentral. Lineage: Eukaryota; Metazoa; Arthropoda; Insecta; Coleoptera; Coccinellidae.